GUACACUCCUACGGGAGGCAGCAGUGGGGAAUUUUGGACAAUGGGCGAAAGCCUGAUCCAGCCAUGCCGCGUGCAGGAUGAAGGCCUUCGGGUUGUAAACUGCUUUUGUACGGAACGAAACGGCCUUUUCUAAUAAAGAGGGCUAAUGACGGUACCGUAAGAAUAAGCACCGGCUAACUACGUGCCAGCAGCCGCGGUAAUACGUAGGGUGCAAGCGUUAAUCGGAAUUACUGGGCGUAAAGCGUGCGCAGGCGGUUAUGUAAGACAGUUGUGAAAUCCCCGGGCUCAACCUGGGAACUGCAUCUGUGACUGCAUAGCUAGAGUACGGUAGAGGGGGAUGGAAUUCCGCGUGUAGCAGUGAAAUGCGUAGAUAUGCGGAGGAACACCGAUGGCGAAGGCAAUCCCCUGGACCUGUACUGACGCUCAUGCACGAAAGCGUGGGGAGCAAACAGGAUUAGAAACCCUGGUAGUCCCAUGAU
Molecule: ribosomal RNA, 479 nt
Filed under: uncultured organism
Description: partial 16S ribosomal RNA
Rfam family: Bacterial small subunit ribosomal RNA
Source: RNAcentral